GUCAGGGUGCGCGAACGGUAAACGGAUCGCCUGCUAAGCGAUUUGGCGAAAGCCUUAGUGGGUUCAACUCCCACCCCUGACG
RNAcentral lists this transfer RNA (82 nucleotides) under Candidatus Acidifodinimicrobium mancum. RNAcentral describes it as "tRNA-Ser". It matches the Rfam family "tRNA". From Rfam's summary of the family: Transfer RNA (tRNA) molecules are approximately 80 nucleotides in length. Their secondary structure includes four short double-helical elements and three loops (D, anti-codon, and T loops). Lineage: Archaea; Nanobdellati; Candidatus Parvarchaeota; Candidatus Acidifodinimicrobiaceae. The record is from RNAcentral.